CCCCUAGACGUUCUGGGCUGCACGCGCGCUACAAUAAUACGCACAGCGAGUAUCACCGAGCUCGAAAGGGCAAGGUAAACAAUAGAAAAGGUGCUGUAAUGGUUAUAGAUCCUUGUAAUUAUUGAUCUUCAACGAGGAAUUCCUAGUAAGUAUGUGUCAUCAUCACGCACUGAUUACGUCCCUGCCCUUUGUACACACCGCCCGUCGCUCCUACCGAUUGGGUGAGCCGAUGAAACUCUCGGAUGUAGGCUAUUCAUAGCCCGCAGAAGAGAUUUGAAUCGUAGCGCUUAGAGGAAGGAGAAGUCGUAACA
RNAcentral lists this ribosomal RNA (311 nucleotides) under uncultured eukaryote. RNAcentral's name for it is "partial 18S ribosomal RNA". It matches the Rfam family "Eukaryotic small subunit ribosomal RNA", at positions 1470 to 1796 of the family's 1831-position model. The record is from RNAcentral.